Molecule: ribosomal RNA, 200 nt
Filed under: uncultured bacterium
Lineage: Bacteria
Description: partial 16S ribosomal RNA
Rfam family: Bacterial small subunit ribosomal RNA
Source: RNAcentral
CACACUGGGAUUGAGAACGGCCCAGACUCCUACGGGGGGCAGCAGUGAGGAAUUUUCGUCAAUGGGGGCAACCCUGAACGAGCAACGCCGCGUGCAGGACGAAGGUCUUCGGAUCGUAAACUGCUUUUCUCUGGGACGAGAACGGACGGUACCAGAGGAAGAAGCCCCGGCUAACUACGUGCCAGCCGCCGCCGUAACAC